RNAcentral lists this ribosomal RNA (734 nucleotides) under uncultured bacterium. RNAcentral's name for it is "bacterial SSU rRNA". It matches the Rfam family "Bacterial small subunit ribosomal RNA", at positions 46 to 771 of the family's 1533-position model. The record is from RNAcentral.
GCCUAACACAUGCAAGUCGAACGGAACUGUUUUGAAAGAUUUCUUCGGAAUGAAUUUGAUUUAGUUUAGUGGAGGACGGGUGAGUAACGCGUGAGUAACCUGCCUUCAAGAGGGGGAUAACAUUCAGAAAAGAAUGCUAGUACCGCAUGACAUAUCGGAAUCACUUGAUUUUGAUAUCAAACAUUUUAUCGCAUGAAGAUGGACUCGCGUCCGAUUAGUUAGUUGGUUAGGUAACCGCUCACCAAGACCGCGAUCGGUAGCCGGACUGAGAGGUUGAACGGCCACAUUGGGACUGACACACGGCCCAGACUCCUACGGGAGGCAGCAGUGGGGGAUAUUUCGCAAUGGGGGCAACCCUGACGCAGCAACGCCGCGUGAAGGAUGAAGGUUUUCGGAUUGUAAACUUCUUUUAUUAAGGACGAAACUUGACGGUACUUAAUGAAUAAGCUCCGUGCUAAUUACUGUGCCAGCAGCCGCGGUAAUACGUAGGGAGCAAGCGUUGUCCUGGAUUUACUGGGUGUAAAGGGUGCGUAGGCGGCUUUGCAAGUCAUGAUGUGAAAUCUAUGGGCUCAUACCCAUAAACUGCAUUUGAAACUGUAGAGCUUGAGUGAAGUAGAGGCAGCCGGAAUUCCCCGUGUAGCGGUGAAAUGAGUAGAGAUGUGGAGGAACACCUGUGGCGAAGGCGGCAUGCUGGGCUUUAACUGACGCUGAGGCAGCGAAAGCGUGGGUAGCAU